UGGGGAAUAUUGGACAAUGGGCGCAAGCCUGAUCCAGCCAUGCCGCGUGAGUGACGAAGGCCUUAGGGUUGUAAAGCUCUUUCGGCGGGGAAGAUAAUGACGGUACCCGCAGAAGAAGCCCCGGCUAACUCUGUGCCAGCAGCCGCGGUAAUACAGAGGGGGCAAGCGUUGUUCGGAAUCACUGGGCGUAAAGCGCACGUAGGUGGAUAGUUAAGUUCGGGGUGAAAUCCCAGGGCUCAACCCUGGAACUGCCUCGGAUACUGGCUAUCUCGAGUCCGGAAGAGGUGAGUGGAAUUCCUAGUGUAGAGGUGAAAUUCGUAGAUAUUAGGAAGAACACCGGUGGCGAAGGCGGCUCACUGGUCCGGUACUGACACUGAGGUGCGAAAGCGUGGGGAGCAAACAGGAUUAGAUACCCCUGUAGUCCCUGAGCGGGCUGGCAAGGCGCAU
RNAcentral lists this ribosomal RNA (447 nucleotides) under uncultured bacterium. Its description in RNAcentral is "bacterial SSU rRNA". It matches the Rfam family "Bacterial small subunit ribosomal RNA", at positions 355 to 825 of the family's 1533-position model. The record is from RNAcentral.